AGACCCGAAACCCGGUGAUCUAGCCAUGGGCAGGUUGAAGGUUGGGUAACACUAACUGGAGGACCGAACCGACUAAUGUUGAAAAAUUAGCGGAUGACCUGUGGCUGGGGGUGAAAGGCCAAUCAAACCGGGAGAUAGCUGGUUCUCCCCGAAAGCUAUUUAGGUAGCGCCUCGUGAAUUCAUCUCCGGGGGUAGAGCACUGUUUCGGCUAGGGGGCCAUCCCGGCUUACCAACCCGAUGCAAACUGCGAAUACCGGAGAAUGUUAUCACGGGAGACACACGGCGGGUGCUAACGUCCGUCGUGAAGAGGGAAACAACCCAGACCGCCAGCUAAGGUCCCAAAGUCAUGGUUAAGUGGGAAACGAUGUGGGAAGGCCCAGACAGCCAGGAUGUUGGCUUAGAAGCAGCCAUCAUUUAAAGAAAGCGUAAUAGCUCACUGGUCGAGUCGGCCUGCGCGGAAGAUGUAACGGGGCUAAACCAUGCACCGAAGCUGCGGCAGCGACGCUGAUGCGUUGUUGGGUAGGGGAGCGUUCUGUAAGCCUGUGAAGGUGUGUCGUGAGGCAUGCUGGAGGUAUCAGAAGUGCGAAUGCUGACAUAAGUAACGAUAAAGCGGGUGAAAAGCCCGCUCGCCGGAAGACCAAGGGUUCCUGUCCAACGUUAAUCGGGGCAGGGUGAGUCGACCCCUAAGGCGAGGCCGAAAGGCGUAGUCGAUGGGAAACGGGUUAAUAUUCCCGUACUUGGUGUUACUGCGAAGGGGGGACGGAGAAGGCUAUGUUGGCCGGGCGACGGUUGUCCCGGUUUAAGCGUGUAGGCUGGUUUUCCAGGCAAAUCCG
Molecule: ribosomal RNA, 833 nt
Filed under: Salmonella enterica
Lineage: Bacteria; Pseudomonadati; Pseudomonadota; Gammaproteobacteria; Enterobacterales; Enterobacteriaceae
Also listed under: 1 other name
Description: partial 23S ribosomal RNA
Rfam family: Bacterial large subunit ribosomal RNA
Source: RNAcentral